CCCGCUGAACUUAAGCAUAUUAAUAAGCGGAGGAAGAGAAAGCAACUGCGAUUCCCUCAGUAGUGGCGAACGAAGCGGGAAAAGCUCAGAUUUAAAAUCGGGUCCGGCAUACGGGUUCCGAAUUGUAGCCUUCGGGUGCACAAUUGCGGUCGUUCUUAUACGCGGUGAAAGUUCCUUGGAAUGGGACGCCAUAGAGGGUGAGAGCCCCGUUCAUCACCGAUAGGUUCGGCGCCAGUCAUUUGUGUUCCUACGAGUCGGGUUGUUUGGGAUUGCAGCCCUAAACCUAUGGGGAGGUAGAUCACUCCCAAAGCUAAAUAUCGGUGGGAGACCGAUAGCGAACAAGUACCGUGAGGGAAAGGUGAAAAGAACUUUGAAAAGAGAGUUAAAAGCGUUCGAAAUCGUUAAGAGGGAAGCGAACGGAACCGAGAUGCGUCGGGCGUUCUUUCUGCGGCGAGGGCAUUUCUACUUUGUCUCGUGAGCCAAAAGCCACGGGGCGGGGAACGGAGUGUUCGCGCCGAGUAUUAGGGCGUUCGACGGACCGACGUUGGUUUGGGAAACUGGAAGAGGGGACGCGGUGACGGGGUUCAAGCUCAAACUUGGACUUGACGAACGCGGCUCUACUCGCAGUCGCCCGGAUCAGGGAUUCACAAUCACUCGCCUCGGCGGGCCUUCGGGCUCUUGAGUGGUUAGGACGUCGGUGUACGGCGGUUCUGUACGACCCGUCUUGAAACACGG
This 735-nucleotide ribosomal RNA is filed under the name uncultured fungus. RNAcentral's name for it is "eukaryotic LSU rRNA". It matches the Rfam family "Eukaryotic large subunit ribosomal RNA", at positions 24 to 664 of the family's 3401-position model. The record is from RNAcentral. Lineage: Eukaryota; Fungi.